Molecule: long non-coding RNA, 959 nt
Filed under: Mus musculus (house mouse)
Lineage: Eukaryota; Metazoa; Chordata; Mammalia; Rodentia; Muridae
Description: long non-coding RNA chr6:120882650-120883609
Source: RNAcentral
AUUUAGAAGCUGUGCUUGUGUAAGACCCCCUUUCAGGGACCCCCCACUCUAGUCUCGGGAGAGAGAGAGAGCACCCAAAGAAACACGAGAAUCCUUCUUGCAACAAACACAAGAGGCAGUUUAAUGGCGGAGCUCUGGGUCAAAACAUAUCUCACGCAGGAGACAGUGGAUUCGACCCCAAGGCUCGAAAGCUAGGGGUUUUUUAUGGGGUAAAGGGCUUAGGGGUGGGAAAUUCAGCAUAGGAACACACUAUUGGCUAAUUCAAACAUCAGCAAAAGAAUACGUGCAGGUCAGGGGGUCAGGGUUCUGUGACUUGUUGACUCAGUUCAGAUAGCCCUGUUAUGUCCUCACAUUCCUCUUUAUCUUUAUGGUCAAGCUGUUCCCAGGAAUGCUUUGACGGGGCAUACCCGGGUUUGUUUUUCUUUGUUCUCAGCCCCAGGCAGCCUCUAGGCUCACAAACAACCAGCAGUUUCUGAGUACUUUAUAUGACUUACAGGUCUUGAAAUUUCAUCUUUCUUUCACUUGAUGUUUUACACCUUAAAUCGCCAACACUCAGAGACAGUAGGCAGAUCUAUGUGAGUUCAAGGCUAGCCUUGUCUGCAUAGCCAGUUCCAGGCCAGCUAGGGCUACAUUGUGAGAGUGUCUGGGGCAUGGGGGGAGUGGAAGGAGAAACAUUUAGGUGGAGUAAGGAUGGUGCGUACCUGUGAUCCUAACACUUAGGAGGCAGAGGUAGUCGGAUCACACUCAGGGUCAGCCUUGGCUAUGUGUUCCUGGCCAUUCAGGCUAAGUAGCAAGUCUCUGUCCUAAAAAAUAGACAAACAACAAAAAAAAAAAAAACAGCUGGGUGGUAGUGGUGCACACCUUUAAGGGCAGAGGCAGGUGGAUCUCUGAAUCUGAGGCCAGCCUGGUCUACAGAGCAAGUUCCAGGACACCCAGGACUAUACAGAGAAACCCUGAUC